AGUCUAAUAACUGAUCAGUACAACAAUGAUAACUAAGGGUUUGAUUUACUGAUGAAUUAUACAAAAAGGAUCAAGAAAAUUUUAAAAUGCAAGUGUGAAAUUAGAUAGUCACAGAAGUAACGGAUUUUGUAUCGAAAAGAUCACCUUGCUUAUUGGAUAUGCCACAGGAAACAGAGUCCAAAUAAGAAUAUGGACAACAGGAG
This 203-nucleotide long non-coding RNA is filed under the name Panax ginseng (ginseng). RNAcentral describes it as "long non-coding RNA (PGIN_LNC009024)". The record is from RNAcentral. Lineage: Eukaryota; Viridiplantae; Streptophyta; Magnoliopsida; Apiales; Araliaceae.